Molecule: ribosomal RNA, 1346 nt
Filed under: uncultured bacterium
Lineage: Bacteria
Description: partial 16S ribosomal RNA
Rfam family: Bacterial small subunit ribosomal RNA
Source: RNAcentral
GACGAACGCUGGCGGCGUGCUUAACACAUGCAAGUCGAACGGAAAGGCCCUGCUUUUGUGGGGUGCUCGAGUGGCGAACGGGUGAGUAACACGUGAGUAACCUGCCCUUGACUUUGGGAUAACUUCAGGAAACUGGGGCUAAUACCGGAUAGGAGCUCCUGCUGCAUGGUGGGGGUUGGAAAGCUUCGGCGGUUGGGGAUGGACUCGCGGCUUAUCAGCUUGUUGGUGGGGUAGUGGCUUACCAGGGCUUUGACGGGUAGCCGGCCUGAGAGGGUGACCGGCCACAUUGGGACUGAGAUACGGCCCAGACUCCUACGGGAGGCAGCAGUGGGGAAUAUUGCACAAUGGGCGGAAGCCUGAUGCAGCAACGCCGCGUGCGGGAUGACGGCCUUCGGGUUGUAAACCGCUUUCGCCUGUGACGAAGCGUGAGUGACGGUAAUGGGUAAAGAAGCACCGGCUAACUACGUGCCAGCAGCCGCGGUGAUACGUAGGGUGCGAGCGUUGUCCGGAUUUAUUGGGCGUAAAGGGCUCGUGGGUGGUUGAUCGCGUCGGAAGUGUAAUCUUGGGGCUUAACCCUGAGCGUGCUUUCGAUACGGGUUGACUUGAGGAAGGUAGGGGAGAAUGGAAUUCCUGGUGGAGCGGUGGAAUGCGCAGAUAUCAGGAGGAACACCAGUGGCGAAGGCGGUUCUCUGGGCCUUCCCUGACGCUGAGGAGCGAAAGCGUGGGGAGCGAACAGGCUUAGAUACCCUGGUAGUCCACGCUGUAAACGGUGGGUACUAGGUGUGGGGUCCAUUCCACGGGUUCCGUGCCGUAGCUAACGCUUUAAGUACCCCGCCUGGGGAGUACGGCCGCAAGGCUAAAACUCAAAGGAAUUGACGGGGCCCCGCACAAGCGGCGGAGCAUGCGGAUUAAUUCGAUGCAACGCGUAGAACCUUACCUGGGUUUGACAUGGAUCGGGAGUGCUCAGAGAUGGGUGUGCCUCUUUUGGGGUCGGUUCACAGGUGGUGCAUGGCUGUCGUCAGCUCGUGUCGUGAGAUGUUGGGUUAAGUCCCGCAACGAGCGCAACCCUUGUUCACUGUUGCCAGCACGUUAUGGUGGGGACUCAGUGGAGACCGCCGGGGUCAACUCGGAGGAAGGUGGGGAUGACGUCAAGUCAUCAUGCCCCUUAUGUCCAGGGCUUCACGCAUGCUACAAUGGCUGGUACAGAGAGUGGCGAGCCUGUGAGGGUGAGCGAAUCUCGGAAAGUCGGUCUCAGUUCGGAUUGGGGUCUGCAACUCGACCUCAUGAAGUCGGAGUCGCUAGUAAUCGCAGAUCAGCAACGCUGCGGUGAAUACGUUCCCGGGGCU